RNAcentral lists this ribosomal RNA (485 nucleotides) under uncultured bacterium. RNAcentral's name for it is "partial 16S ribosomal RNA". It matches the Rfam family "Bacterial small subunit ribosomal RNA", at positions 28 to 523 of the family's 1533-position model. The record is from RNAcentral.
GAUGAACGCUGGCGGCGUGCCUUAGGCAUGCAAGUCGAACGGGAAGUCUUCGGACUUCUAGUGGCGGAAGGGUGAGUAACGCGUGGGAACGUACCUAUUGGUGGAGAAUAGCUCGCCGAAAGGCGGGAUAAUUCUGCAUAAGACCGCAAGGUGAAAGGGCUUAACCGCCCGCCGAUAGAGCGGCCUGCGUCCUAUCAGCUUGUUGGUGAGGUAAAGGCUUACCAAGGCGAUGACGGGUAGCUGGGCUGAGAGGUCGGACAGCCACAAUGGAACUGAGACACGGCCCAGACUCCUACGGGAGGUAGCAGUGGGGAAUAUUGGACAAUGGGGGGAACCCUGAUCCAGCCAUGCCGCGUGUGUGAAGAAGGCCUUAUGGUUGUAAAGCACUUUAAGCGAGGAGGAGGCUACUGAGACUAAUACUCUUGGAUAGUGGACGUUACUCGCAGAAUAAGCACCGGCUAACUCUGUGCCAGCAGCCGCAGUAA